This 858-nucleotide ribosomal RNA is filed under the name Triticum aestivum (bread wheat). RNAcentral describes it as "partial small subunit ribosomal RNA". Lineage: Eukaryota; Viridiplantae; Streptophyta; Magnoliopsida; Poales; Poaceae. The record is from RNAcentral.
AUGACGAUCAUGCGGAUGUUCCUAGCUCUCUGCGCCCUUGGGUUCGUCGCAGGAGUAGUAGAAGAUGGAUCGUCGUUUGACGUCAGCGCUUACCCGGUCAAGUGGGAUGAGGACCCAUCUGUGGGAUCAGGGGACGUGGCCGCUCCACCGUCUCCCGGUACUGAGGCGCCGGCGCCGCCUCCGAAGCAUCACAUGAUGGUGAAGAAGGGCAUGCUGUUUCUGGAGCGCGACCUCUUUGCCGGGGCGCUCCUGCCGGCAAACACCCGGCUGGGCUACGUCAGACGCACGAGUUCACCAGGCCCAGUCAUUUCAAGUACUACAAGCCCAGUACCACCCUUCAGGUACAGCAGUUUCGAGAAAAUCUUGAAGUUUUACAAUGUAACGCACGGCUCCAAGCAAGCAGGGAGGAUCUCGGAGACUCUCCAGUUCUGCGAGGAGGCGGGAGACAAGGAACCACACGCGUGCGCAACGUCUGUGGCCGCCGCGAGAGACUUCGCGGCCACCGUUUUGGGGACCAAGGAGCCGCGCGCGGUCACUUCAAUCCUUCACGGACGCACACAACCCCUCCGCUACGUGGUGGCGCCCAACGGAAUCGCCAGCGUCGGCGGCGACGCGGUGGUGCCAUGCCACCCCCUGGCGUACCCUGUGGAGGUCUUUUACUGCCACAACCCCAGCAACGUGCAAGCGCUCCGUGUCCAACUUGUUGGACAGGAGGACCCUUCCGUCGGCGCCACGGCCAUCGCAGUAUGCCACAAGGAUACCAGCUACUGGGAUGAGGCAUACUUCAUGAUGCUCAACGGAUCCCGUGGCGAGCCGAUAUGUCACUUCAUGCCGGCCAAUUACCUUCUGUGGCUCUAG